RNAcentral lists this ribosomal RNA (497 nucleotides) under uncultured bacterium. Its description in RNAcentral is "partial 16S ribosomal RNA". It matches the Rfam family "Bacterial small subunit ribosomal RNA", at positions 28 to 507 of the family's 1533-position model. The record is from RNAcentral.
GAUGAACGCUGGCGGCGUGCCUAAUACAUGCAAGUCGAGCGAACAGACGAGGAGCUUGCUCCUCUGACGUUAGCGGCGGACGGGUGAGUAACACGUGGAUAACCUACCUAUAAGACUGGGAUAACUUCGGGAAACCGGAGCUAAUACCGGAUAAUAUAUUGAACCGCAUGGUUCAAUAGUGAAAGACGGUUUUGCUGUCACUUAUAGAUGGAUCCGCGCCGCAUUAGCUAGUUGGUAAGGUAACGGCUUACCAAGGCAACGAUGCGUAGCCGACCUGAGAGGGUGAUCGGCCACACUGGAACUGAGACACGGUCAAGACUCCUACGGGAGGCAGCAGUAGGGAAUCUUCCGCAAUGGGCGAAAGCCUGACGGAGCAACGCCGCGUGAGUGAUGAAGGUCUUCGGAUCGUAAAAAUCUGUUAUUAGGGAAGAACAAAUGUGUAAGUAACUAUGCACGUCUUGACGGUACCUAAUCAGAAAGCCACGGCUGACUACGUG